This 593-nucleotide ribosomal RNA is filed under the name uncultured bacterium. Its description in RNAcentral is "bacterial SSU rRNA". It matches the Rfam family "Bacterial small subunit ribosomal RNA", at positions 335 to 919 of the family's 1533-position model. The record is from RNAcentral.
AUUCCUACGGGAGGCAGCAGUGGGGAAUAUUGGACAAUGGGCGCAAGCCUGAUCCAGCCAUGCCGCGUGGGUGAAGAAGGCCUUCGGGUUGUAAAGCCCUUUUGUCCGGGAAGAAAUCGUCUGGGCUAAUACCCCGGGCGGAUGACGGUACCGGAAGAAUAAGCACCGGCUAACUUCGUGCCAGCAGCCGCGGUAAUACGAAGGGUGCAAGCGUUACUCGGAAUUACUGGGCGUAAAGCGUGCGUAGGCGGUUCGUUAAGUCCGAUGUGAAAGCCCUGGGCUCAACCUGGGAACUGCAUUGGAAACUGGCGGGCUGGAGUGCGGUAGAGGGUGGCGGAAUUCCCGGUGUAGCAGUGAAAUGCGUAGAUAUCGGGAGGAACAUCCGUGGCGAAGGCGGCCACCUGGACCAGCACUGACGCUGAGGCACGAAAGCGUGGGGAGCAAACAGGAUUAGAUACCCUGGUAGUCCACGCCCUAAACGAUGCGAACUGGAUGUUGGGUGCAACUUGGCACUCAGUAUCGAAGCUAACGCGUUAAGUUCGCCGCCUGGGAAGUACGGUCGCAAGACUGAAACUCAAAGGAAUUGACGGAAU